CUCAUGGCCCUUAUAGGUGGGGCUACACACGUCAUACAAUGGCUGGUACAAAGGGUUGCCAACCCGCGAGGGGGAGCCAAUCCCAUAAAGCCAGUCGUAGUCCGGAUCGUAGUCUGCAACUCGACUACGUGAAGUCGGAAUCGCUAGUAAUCGUGGAUCAGAAUGUCACGGUGAAUACGUUCCCGGGUCUU
RNAcentral lists this ribosomal RNA (191 nucleotides) under uncultured Rhodoferax sp. RNAcentral's name for it is "partial 16S ribosomal RNA". It matches the Rfam family "Bacterial small subunit ribosomal RNA", at positions 1192 to 1382 of the family's 1533-position model. The record is from RNAcentral. Lineage: Bacteria; Pseudomonadati; Pseudomonadota; Betaproteobacteria; Burkholderiales; Comamonadaceae.